Non-coding RNA from Phalacrocorax carbo (great cormorant), 2350 nucleotides. The record is from RefSeq and is a predicted model, not a curated record. NCBI's taxonomy places the organism in Eukaryota, Metazoa, Chordata, Aves, Suliformes, Phalacrocoracidae.
UCUUUGCACAGUUGCUGCUUAUUCUAGUUUUACAUUUUCAGCCAGAAAGAUACCCUUUAUACAUGAGUAAUUGAGAAAGCUGGGAAUUCCACAGUUUGAUACGACUUCUCACUUAUUGUGAUGCUUAGACUGUGCAAUUUCAUUAAAAUAUGUAGAGUUCAAGUUCCGAGCAUAAUACCUACCUGCAAAGUCCCCACAGAGCUCAUCUUGCAGUAAGCCUAAAUGAAAGCUUUGCUGAUUUCAACAUCAUAUUGAGAUGCAUCUUUCCCUGUAAAUGCUGACUGCCAAACCAAAAGCUAAUGCCUCUGUAUUGCUUUUUCACUCAUUUUUUCUAGGCUAAUUUCAUGUCACGAAACCUGGAAAACAUGAAGUCUAACUGUAAUGUAUAUAGUUAUAUCUUUGCUGCUGAGCUAAUGAUUGGAGGUUGAGAUAUAAAUGCUAAGCUGUUAAAACUGGCUCAUAUUUACAAGAGGAGGAGAUUAAAGUGUCAGCAGGAAAAACAGAAGGGAGGAGUGUGAAAACUUGCUUUAAAACACACAAACAAAAACCCACCCAACUGAAAAAGAACUCGGAAGACCUUUUAUGAAGUAUAUUCAUUAUCUUCUGCAUAAAUGUGAAAAGUUGAAAAUAAUUAGAAAAGUGUGUGACUUCAAUGUAUUUCCACUUUUUGGAGGGAAACAUUGUGUAGGCAUCAUUUUUGUAACCACACCAAAUGUUAAUUCAAUUGAUACUAUAAGAAAUAAACAGGCUGCUUCUGACUCGAGGUGCAUCUUUGCAGGAAAAUAUUUCUGUAUGUUUUGUAUCAGUAUGUUUGGGUCUUUACCCAUGCAGGCAGAAUGCAUUUACAUUUGGGACUCUGUACUUUGGCGUGUCUUGGCAUGGUAGAGAUGCAAAUAAGUGUCUACAGAAUGCUCAUUUUGAAUACAGAUGGUCUGAAGUUUCAAAAACAGCAAUUGUAGCUGGCAGCUCUGGGAUAUUUUGGAGACUCUCGUGUUUUCGGGGGGAAGGGUACUCUGCACUGUAGUAUUUGAAAAACAGAACCUUUAGCUUCCAAAUGAUUGUCCAAAUGACUAGUGAUUUAUAAAGUUUAGGUCUAUGAUUUUUUGAUCAGGACUUUCUCAAGCACUGAGAAGCUCCAAGACCACUUCCUUUUAGACCCUAAUUUUGGGUGCCUGUGUGCCAGCUUUGCAAGGCUGAUGUCAGUAUUACAUAAGUAACAAAAAUCUGGCUGUGUGUUUGAUCUACGUAGAUUUUGAGCCACUUCAAACUACUUGUCACUUUUUCAUUGUGGGGUGAAAUCUUGACUUCUGAUGGCAAAUGGUGUCCUGAAUUAGAUGAGUGAUAAGAAGCCACAUAGAAAAAUGAUGACAGUAGUAGUGAAACGUGCUUGAUUUUUCUACCUGUGCUCAUUUGCAAGAUUUUUCUUUCCUUAUCUGUUUGCUUAAUUGAUUGUGUAACAGGAUGGUUCCUGGGAGACAUCGACAGAAAACUGCCGACUCUACCCACUCAGUCUGCGAUGUCACGGAAGUGGCAUUGUGGUACUUUAUCACUUCACUUCUUGGACAGGAGAGCAGAAGUUUGCUGUAGCUCUCUGCUGAAAGUAAUCCACUCUUAAUUUUGUAUUUUAUUGAUGUCCUAUUUUUUCUUUCAUUAGGCUAGGGCAGUAGAGAGCUGUAUGAAGUUCAUUGUAUGGAGCACACAUGACUAAUAUGGGUGGCCAAGGUCAGAGCCUCAGAUGUCUUGUUCUCUCUAUCAACACCUUUUCUGUACUGCUGGCUGAAGCUUUCCUCUAGAGCUGCACUGUACAGAGCUAUGAAACAACCCACUCCUAGGGGAAAUUACUUUAUUUCGCAAGAUGGUUCAGGUUCAGCACUGAUGGUCUUCUCUUGCUGCCAGGUCCCUUGUCCCUCUGCAGUUCUCCUAGGUUACAAGCACAUUGACCGUACUUUGCUCUGGGGGUGGUGGACCUUUAUGCUUUGUUCUGUCUUCUGGUUUCACCUUUUGGGAUACCAUACAGGCUGUCUCGAAGGGUGGACUAUUUCAUUUUACAUAGGUCGUUGUUCUGUGACAUACUAGGGUUUGGUUUAAAUCUGUUUGCCUUCUAAUAAUGUUCCCUAUGCUGAAAACUCAGGAAACUGUUGAUAUUUCAACUUUGCAGGCUGCAAGUGAGUGGGAUCUAACCUCAAUUUAAUUGCCACUGCUUAAAAAUUCCUUUAGCAAAUGCAGUCUUGGUUCUGCAAAAGUCAGAUGAGGUAAUGCCAAAAACGCAGUUUGAUGUUAGUCAAUUGAAAUAAGACAUGAUUGUAGAUGUUCAGUUUCUGAUCAGUGGUAAUAAAGUAAAAGAAAAUUA